ACGAAGGGGGCUAGCGUUGCUCGGAAUCACUGGGCGUAAAGCGCACGUAGGCGGCUUGUUAAGUCAGGGGUGAAAUCCUGGAGCUCAACUCCAGAACUGCCUUUGAUACUGGCGAGCUUGAGUUCGGGAGAGGUGAGUGGAACUGCGAGUGUAGAGGUGAAAUUCGUAGAUAUUGGGAAGAACACCGGUGGCGAAGGCGGCCAACUGGACUGGUAUUGACGCUGAGGCGCGAAAGCGUGGGGAGCAAACAGGA
This 253-nucleotide ribosomal RNA is filed under the name uncultured prokaryote. RNAcentral's name for it is "partial 16S ribosomal RNA". It matches the Rfam family "Bacterial small subunit ribosomal RNA", at positions 525 to 777 of the family's 1533-position model. The record is from RNAcentral.